GAGUAACAAGCAUACUCUUUGCAUAUUUGCAUUAUUGAUGAAUGUUGCGAAUUGCUGCAUUUAUGCUUUUACAAUCAAAUUCCAUGGUCUUCAUCCAGUUCUCAAAGUCUCCAAUUUCCUUAAUUGCAGUGUUAAUGGCAUGAGUGGCAGUAAGCCACUGAUCAGUUUGUCUCAUGAAUCUGGAAAUCGUUGCAGCUAAAGCUCGAAUCUCGAGUUCAAUUCGUUUCUCGUUGAUGAAAGAUUCUUGAACUCCCCCAUUCACUGCGUCCAUCAAUAGAUCUGAUACCCUCACGGCCUUCUUAAUUGCAUCUUUCUUCGCUUUCUCGGUAAGUUCGCGGAGACGGAGAGACUUGUGGUGGUGAUCGUCCAUAAGUUGGAGGAGAGAAGCUUCAAGGCCUCCUGGCUCUGGCUGCGGCUUCUCUGUCUCCCAUGGCGAAGCCACGCGCGUACGCGCCAACGGAAGCUGUGGUGAAUACAUCCAGCGAGUGAGGUUCUCUUUUCGGUCGAUGCAAGUGUUUUCUGCUGUUGAUAGAAGCUUCACUCACUCUUUGAGAUCCGGAUCCAGUUAUGGAUC
RNAcentral lists this unclassified non-coding RNA (574 nucleotides) under Hevea brasiliensis (rubber tree). The record is from RNAcentral. Lineage: Eukaryota; Viridiplantae; Streptophyta; Magnoliopsida; Malpighiales; Euphorbiaceae.